UUAAGCAACCCAUAUAAAUAACCUAUGGGCUAAAAAGAAACUGUAACCAAAAUUAGAAAAUAUUUUGAACUUAAUAAUAAUAAUAAGCCACAUCAAAAGUCAUGAGAUGCGUCCAGGUGCAGUGGCUCAUGCCCUUAAUCCCAGCACUUUUGGGAUGCCGAGGUGGGCAGAUCACUUUGAGGCCAGGAGUUUGAGACCAGCCUGGCCAAAGUGGCAAGACUUUGUCUCUACUAAAAAUACAAAAAAUUAAGCUGGGUGUGGUGGCUCACGCCUAUAAUCCCAGCUACUCAGGAGGCUGAGGCUUGAGAAUUGCUUGAACCUGGUAGGUGGAGGUUACAGUGAGCUGAGAUCAUGCCACUGCACUCCACCUUCGAGGACAGAGAGACUCUGUCUCAAAAAAAAAAAAAAAAAAAAAAAAUAGGCUGGGCGCUGUGGCUUAUGCCUACAAUCCCAGCACUUUGGGAGGCUGAGGCGGGAGGAUCACGAGGUCAAGAGAUUGAGACCAUCCUGGUCAACAAGGUGAAACCCCGCCUCUACCAAAAAUACAAAAAAUUAGCUGGGCAUGGUGGUGUGCACUUGUAGUCCCAGCUACUCAGGAGGCUGAGGCAGGAGAAUUGCUUGAACCCAGAAGGUGGAGGUUGCAGUGAGCCAAGAUCAUGCCAUUGUACUCCAGUCUGAGUAACAACAGUGAAACUCCGUCUCAAAAAAAAAAAAUAAUAAUUAAUUAAUGAGAUGCAGCUAAAGUGGUGUUUAGAGGGAAAUCUAUAUCCUUUAGCAUGUGUUAGUAAAAAAUGGCUAAAAUUCAUUAUCUAGAAUUUCAUCUCAGGAAGUUAGAAUAUCAACAUCCAUUGUUUAGCUCCCACUUACCAGUGAGUCCAUGACAUGGUAUUUGAUUUUCUGUUUCUGCAUUAAUUCAUUUAGGAUAAUGGCCUCUAGCUGCAACCACAUUGCUGCAAAGGACAUCAUUUUGUUCUUUUUUAUAGCUGUAUAGUAUUCCAUAGUGUAUACACACCAUAUUUUCUUUAUCCAAUCUAUUGUUAAUGGACGCUUAGGUUGAUUUCAUGCCUUUGCUGUUGUGAUUAGUGCUGUGAUAAACAUACUAGUGCAGGUGUCUUUUUGAUAAAACUAUUUCUUUUCCUUUGGGUAGAUAGCUCCAGUAGUGGGGUUGCUGAGUUGCAUGGUAGUUCUAUUUUUAAUUCUUUGAGAAAUCUCCAGAAUAUUUUCUAUGGAGAUUUAACUAAUUUACAUUCCCACCAAUACGUUAGCUUAUGUUUGAAUUUUUCCACAAUAAAAUUUUCAAAAGGAGAGACACUAUAAAAGAGGGAAAAGGCAAACCACAAAGAAGACAUACAUAACACAUAGCACCAGAAAAGGGGACUACAUCUGAAAUAUAGAAAGAAUCCCUACAAAUCAAUAAGAAAGAGAAAGAUAACUCAAUAGAAUAAUUAGCAAGAACAUAAAGUAGUAGCACAAAAGAAGAUACCUAAAUGGUUAAUAAAUAUAUGAAAAGGAGGCCAAUUGAAUUCAUAAUCAAGGACUUAGAAAUUAAAGACACCAAUUAAAUAAUACACAUACAAUGAUACACAUACUUUAUCUUUUGUGCAAAUAUGUAUAUAAACUGGAGUUAGAGUACCUCAAGUUCUGUGCCAAUAUCAAAAUAACAUUAGCCUAGAAUAGCUACAAUUUAAAACACUCAAAAAUCCCAAGUAUGGUUGAGGAUGGGGUGAAACAGCAACUCUUAGGUACAGCUGAUUGGAGGAAAUAUUGGUACAACUAAUUUGGAAGACAGUUUGGUAGUGUCUACCAAAUUUGAGUAUAUGCCUACGCCUAUGACCCAACAAUUCCAUUCCUAGGUAUAUAUCCACCAAAAGUGUGUGUGUGUAAAAAAUGUAUCUGCAAAAGACAAGUAAUAAUAUUGAUAAUAACAUAGUAACAUUCUUCAGAAUAGUCUCACAAAACUGGAAACUACUGAGAUGUCCAACAGUAGAAUGAAUAAAUAAAUUGUAGUGUAUUUGUACAAUAGAAUAGCAUACAACAAAGAAAUAUAAGGAAUUUUUGCUACAUACCUCAAUUGACUACAUGUUAAAACCUAAUAUUGACCAAGAGAAGCCACCCCCGCGCAACAUACAAUGUGAUUUCAUUUAAAUAGCAUUCAAAACUGAGCAAAACAAAUCCAUGGUGACAUAAGUAAGAAGAGAAGUGACAUUUGAGGAGAAGGGGCGGAUAUUGACUGGCCAGUGACAGGACAGGGCUUUGGGGUUAGGGUAAUACUUCAUUUCCAGACCUACGUAGUGAUCACAGAGGUGCAUGCACUUUGUGAGUCCCCCAUCCAACUUUCAAACUGUACCCUUGGCUUUUUUGUAUUUUUCUCUAUCUAUGCUGAAUUUCAACAAAAGAUGUCUAUUACAACAAAAGAGUGAUAUAAACUUGGAGAGAGAGUUCUGAUAAAUGAAAAGGCCAUUUUAGUGCAUAGAAUUAUGGAGGAAAUGUUUUAAAAUCUUGCUUUAAUUUGGUUGUUACAAUAAAUUCAAUUUGAGUGGGAAGAAAAGUAAUUAACAUUUGUUCAAAUACAGAUAUAAACUGGAGAUGGAGGCCCUUAAGUUCUGUGCCAGGACCAUAAUAAUUUCAACUGGAAAAAAUUUUUGAAGCUGGUGUUAUAAACAUUCCACCACAGCCCAAAGAAGAAUCUUACUCAAAGAGCUGUGAACUUCUAAUUUUGAACAAUAUAACUUCCAGGCACACCCUCCUAUACUGACGUAAUGGAAUGAGGUUUAAUGCAACAUUACUCACAACAGCGAAGAUAUGGAAUCUACCUAUGUGUCCAUCGACAGAUGAAUGAAUAAAGAAAAUGUGCUAGAGGAGAGGAUAUUGAAUGUACUUAACAAGAAGAAAUGAUGCUGGACACGAUGGUUCAUACCUGUAAUCCUAGCCCUUUGGGAGGCCGAGGCAGGAGGAUUACGUGAGCCCAGAAGUUCAAGACCAGCCUGGCCAACAAGGUGACACUACAUCUCUACUAAAAGUAAAAAAAAUAAUAGUCAGGCAUGGUGGCCCAUGCCUGUGGUCCCAGCUACUCAGGAGGCUGAGGUGGGUGGAAUGUUGGAGCCCGGGAGUUGGAGGCUGCAGCGAGCUGUGUUUGUGCCACUGCACUCCAGG
Molecule: long non-coding RNA, 3153 nt
Organism: Callithrix jacchus (white-tufted-ear marmoset)
Lineage: Eukaryota; Metazoa; Chordata; Mammalia; Primates; Cebidae
Source: RefSeq, a predicted model, not a curated record